GCCAGUGUGGUGUAGUGGUUUGAGCGUUGGACUAUGACUAGGGAGAUCAGGGUUCGAAUCCCAGCUCAGCCA
Molecule: transfer RNA, 72 nt
Filed under: Phrynosoma platyrhinos (Desert horned lizard)
Lineage: Eukaryota; Metazoa; Chordata; Lepidosauria; Squamata; Phrynosomatidae
Description: tRNA-OTHER
Source: RNAcentral